ACGUCAUCACCGUGUUACGUGGCCCCCCUUGAUGUUAAGCACUUACAGCAGGGGUGGACUUGGAUGGGCCCAAAUUGAUGUGGGCUUGGGAUAUUUUGUCCAAAAAGUUUUAUUUUAUUAAAAUACAAAUAAAAUUUAGAAAAAGGUAUAUUUUGUAAAAAUAAAUGUACUUAUUUCUUAUCCUCGGUUUUGAUUUAUUAAGAAAAUCAGGUUCAAACCUUAAAAAA
This 227-nucleotide unclassified non-coding RNA is filed under the name Hevea brasiliensis (rubber tree). The record is from RNAcentral. Lineage: Eukaryota; Viridiplantae; Streptophyta; Magnoliopsida; Malpighiales; Euphorbiaceae.